CAGCCCCCGCCCCGAAUGAGGCCAAGCAAAGCUGCACCCCCCGCUGCCGGCUGCUGCUCGGAGCUCCGGGCUCUCCCCGUGCGGAGCUCCCAGAGGCACCGACGGUCCCGAGCGUUCAACCCGAGCACCUCUUGUCCUCCUUUAACCCCCCCUCCACGCCCCAAGUCUGGGGAGCAAAGCAACCUAUCUCUUCCCGAACACCCUGUGCCGACCGUGGGGGAGGGUGGGGGCACGGCCGGGACACAAAGGCCGGGGGCUGCAGCGGGGCGGGCCGAUGAGCGGGGCUCCGGGCUCCUCCUCCUCCUCCGCCGCCUCCGAGCGGGGAUGCUGCUGCCGGGCACGCACCGGGAGCCCCGCGGAGCGCUGCGGGCUGCGGCCGCCCGAGGUGGGAACCCGUCGGGGCAGGGGGCGGUGCGGGGGGACCGGGAGCCGUCGGGGUACGGGGAGCUCCGGGGCGGGCGGAGGAACGGAGCGGAGGGGUUUGCGGCGCGGAGGCAGCGGGUGGCCCCGCACGGCACCGAGCGCCUCUCCCAGCCGGGAGAUUCGGGGUUCGAGUUCCCCCCACGUCCGCGGGGGUCCUUCGGGAGUCCCCGCUCCCGCAAAGCGAGCGCGGCCCCGGCUGCGCGCACCCCUGCGCGGGUGCGGUGCUCGGCUCUGCUCCAUCGCUUCCAUCCGAAGUGCGGCAAACUUCAAGGAGAGGGGGAACGGUGUGUGCUCAGCACCUCGGCUCGGGCUGCUGCUGGUUGCACAGCCCCAGAACUCUUUGGGAAACGUGCAGGUGGAAAUCUACCUUGCCUUUGGUUUGUUGUGAGCGUCGUGCCGUGCUCGUGUCGGAAAUUAUCUGCUGGGAGAGCGUGGGGAGAGAGGGUGGGAGGUGUGGGUGCCCAGGGCUGGUGUGCGGGAGGCUGUGGUUUGUGCAGCUGUUGGGUUCCUCCGUGUGCGAGGGCUGAUGGUGUCAGAACGUUGUGUGCGAGCCUGCAGCCCGUCCUGUGCCAGCCUUUCCUUGUGCCGGUGCUGUUCUCAGUCCUCACGGCUGAGCAGAGGAUGCAGAGCUCUCGAUCCUGGAAAGCCAGCGAUCCAUCUCUGCCUUUAAAAACAGAGCUCGGGCAUCGCUGCUGUUGCUGUGGCAGGAGUCAGCUUGGGUCUUCCCUUCUCACCAGAUCCACAGAGCUUUGUAGGGACUCUGUCCAGCCGCAGCACUGCACUCCCAUCUUCCCUGGGAGUUUGCACCUGGCUGUCUCCAAAAGGCUGGAUACCCACAGGGGCUUUGCUUCUCCUGGUUGAAGAGCAUUUAUCUGCCCAUUGGUGCAGCACCCAGUAGGUCCAAUUUGUUGCCCCGGGGAUGUGGAGGAACCCCAGCCUGUACCCCCAUCGCUGACCUCCCCCAGCACACCCCAGCCCCAUCUGCAUCACUGCUGCGAGCCCCUUUCUCUCUGGGCACUCUGUGUUUGGUUUCCCGUUGUCCCCUUUUGCUGACCCCCAAGCAGCACCGUGCCCCAGGCACCUCCUCACCAUUGCACACCAGUUCGGGGGCCUUUUGGUGCUAACAAGUGAGCAGAGACCUGGGAACUCAUCACAAGUGUGGCUCAGCGCAGGGAGCAGCGUCUGAACCCGUUUAUUUUCCGAGCAGGUUCGUGUUCACGCGGCAGCUCCUAUGGUUGUCCGGAUUCCUCCGGAGAGCUGUUUUCCUCCUUGAAGGCUGCAGCAAGUGCAACACGAGCAGGAAAAGAAAAAAAAAACAAAACCUCUCUGCUAUCGGUCUCACUGAUAGCAUCGCUCCAGACGCCGGCGAACCU
Molecule: long non-coding RNA, 1796 nt
Filed under: Numida meleagris (helmeted guineafowl)
Lineage: Eukaryota; Metazoa; Chordata; Aves; Galliformes; Numididae
Description: lncRNA (ENSNMEG00000003631.1)
Source: RNAcentral